UACGAAGGGGGCUAGCGUUGUUCGGAAUUACUGGGCGUAAAGGGCGCGUAGGCGGCGUGUCAAGUCAGGCGUGAAAGCCCCGGGCUCAACCUGGGAACCGCGCUUGAGACUGGCAUGCUCGAGUUCGGGAGAGGGUGGUGGAAUUCCCAGUGUAGAGGUGAAAUUCGUAGAUAUUGGGAAGAACACCGGUGGGCGAAGGCGGCUCACUGGCUCGUUUCUGACGCUCAGGCGCGAUAGCGUGGGGGAUCAAACAGG
Molecule: ribosomal RNA, 255 nt
Filed under: uncultured bacterium
Lineage: Bacteria
Description: partial 16S ribosomal RNA
Rfam family: Bacterial small subunit ribosomal RNA
Source: RNAcentral